GCGGGGAUCGCCUAGCCUGGUAGGGCGUGGGAUUGCUAAUCCCAUGUCCGCAAGGACACGGGGGUUCAAAUCCCCUCCCCGCGCCA
RNAcentral lists this transfer RNA (86 nucleotides) under Candidatus Nitrosopumilus sp. SW. RNAcentral describes it as "tRNA-Ser". It matches the Rfam family "tRNA". Rfam says of the family: Transfer RNA (tRNA) molecules are approximately 80 nucleotides in length. Their secondary structure includes four short double-helical elements and three loops (D, anti-codon, and T loops). The record is from RNAcentral. Lineage: Archaea; Thermoproteati; Nitrososphaerota; Nitrososphaeria; Nitrosopumilales; Nitrosopumilaceae.